RNAcentral lists this ribosomal RNA (479 nucleotides) under uncultured bacterium. Its description in RNAcentral is "partial 16S ribosomal RNA". It matches the Rfam family "Bacterial small subunit ribosomal RNA", at positions 28 to 507 of the family's 1533-position model. The record is from RNAcentral.
GACGAACGCUGGCGGCGUGCUUAACACAUGCAAGUCGAACGAAGCUUGAUUACGGAUUCUUCGGAUGAGGUAGGAUAUGACUGAGUGGCGGCCGGGGGAGUAACGCGUGAGUAACCGGCCCUUCAGAGGGGGAUAGCGUUUGGAAACGAACGGUAAUACCGCAUAAUGUAUUUUGACCGCAUGAUCGAAAUACCAAAGAUUUAUCGCUGAAGGAUGGACUCGCGUCUGAUUAGGUAGUUGGUGGGGUAACGGCCUACCAAGCCGACGAUCAGUAGCCGGACUGAGAGGUUGAUCGGCCACAUUGGGACUGAGACACGGCCCAGACUCCUACGGGAGGCAGCAGUGGGGAAUAUUGCACAAUGGGCGCAAGCCUGAUGCAGCAACGCCGCGUGAAGGAAGACGGUUUUCGGAUUGUAAACUUCUGUUCUUAGUGAAGAAUAAUGACGGUAGCUAAGGAGCAAGCCACGGCUAACUACGUG